This 1567-nucleotide small RNA is filed under the name Pongo abelii (Sumatran orangutan). RNAcentral's name for it is "retained intron". The record is from RNAcentral. Lineage: Eukaryota; Metazoa; Chordata; Mammalia; Primates; Hominidae.
CAGGUUUCCGAAGGAGAGGCAGGUGAGUACUGACACGCCACCUCUUCCUAUAACACUGUGGGUGACUACGUCCUAGGCUGAAUGGCAAUCUCCGCUUGUUCCCUGAGGGGCAGCAUGAGGCCUGUGGCUUUUCUGUCCGCUCAUGUCAGUACUGAGAGGAAGAAAGUUCUACAAUGCUGAACAGUCGGCCGAGGGUGCAGGGCCUGGGUCAAUACUUGCUAGGGCUUACAGCUGGAGUCCACAGAGGGAGAUCUGGGAUUCAGAUCAAAUGAGAGGAAGAGCCUAGGGAAGUCCCCUGAGCUCUGCUACUUUGUCACUGGUGUGUUUGGUUUUGGUUCUUCCAGGAAGAGUCUGCCGAAGGUGAAGGCCAUGGACUUCAUCACCUCCACAGCCAUCCUGCCCCUGCUGUUCAGCUGCCUGGGCGUCUUCGGCCUCUUCCGGCUGCUGCAGUGGGUGCGCGGGAAGGCCUACCUGCGGAAUGCUGUGGUGGUGAUCACAGGCGCCACCUCAGGGCUGGGCAAAGAAUGUGCAAAAGUCUUCUAUGCUGCGGGUGCUAAGCUGGUGCUCUGUGGCCGGAAUGGUGGGGCCCUAGAAGAGCUCAUCAGAGAACUCACUGCUUCUCAUGCCACCAAGGUGCAGACACACAAGCCUUACUUGGUGACCUUCGACCUCACAGACUCUGGGGCCGUAGUUGCAGCAGCAGCUGAGAUCCUGCAGUGCUUUGGCUAUGUCGACAUACUUGUCAACAAUGCUGGGAUCAGCUACCGUGGUACCAUCAUGGACACCACAGUGGAUGUGGACAAGAGGGUCAUGGAGACAAACUACUUUGGCCCAGUUGCUCUAACGAAAGCCCUCCUGCCCUCCAUGAUCAAGAGGAGGCAAGGCCACAUUGUCGCCAUCAGCAGCAUCCAGGGCAAGAUCAGCAUUCCUUUUCGAUCAGCAUACGCAGCCUCCAAGCACGCAACCCAGGCUUUCUUUGACUGUCUGCGUGCCGAGAUGGAACAGUAUGAAAUUGAGGUGACCGUCAUCAGCCCCGGCUACAUCCACACCAACCUCUCUGUAAAUGCCAUCACCGCGGAUGGAUCUAGGUAUGGAGUUAUGGACACCACCACAGCCCAGGGCCGAAGCCCUGUGGAGGUGGCCCAGGAUGUUCUUGCUGCUGUGGGGAAGAAGAAGAAAGAUGUGAUCCUGGCUGACUUACUGCCUUCCUUGGCCGUUUAUCUUCGAACUCUGGCUCCUGGGCUCUUCUUCAGCCUCAUGGCCUCCAGGGCCAGAAAAGAGCGGAAAUCCAAGAACUCCUAGUACUCCGACCAGCCAGAGCCAGGCCAGAGAAGCAGCACUCUUAGGCUUGGUUACUCUACAAGGGACAGUUGCAUUUGUUGAGACUUUAAUGGAGAUUUGUCUCACAAGUGGGAAAGACUGAAGAAACACAUCUCAUGCAGAUCUGCUGGCAGAAGACAAUCAAAAACGGCAACAAGCUUCUUCCCAGGGUGAGGGGAAACACUUAAGGAAUAAAUAUGGAGCUGGGGUUUCACGCUAAAAACUAGAAAUAAACAUCUAAAACAGU